Molecule: transfer RNA, 71 nt
Filed under: Pantala flavescens
Lineage: Eukaryota; Metazoa; Arthropoda; Insecta; Odonata; Libellulidae
Description: tRNA-Val
Source: RNAcentral
UCAAAUUAAACUGAAUCGCACAGUUAAAUUUUCAGUGUAAAUGAAAUGCUUUCUAAUCAAGCUCUAAUUUG